CUGCUGUGCCGUUUCAUCAGACACGCUGCUCUGGUGUGUAUCAUAUGAUACGGCAGCCGCUCAGGCAGGCGGGGAGCAGCGCAGCCUGUAAUUUCCUGGUCAUAUGUAACUGGGUGGGGAAGCGCCUGAUCCUUGGGAAAGAAGAGAACAAAAAACUUUCUUGGCUGCAGCUAUCAGCUAAUUUUUGGUUGCUUUUGAAUGCCAAGGCCAGCAGGAUCCAGGAAUUCAUCUACUGGUGCCAGCAAGAAAGCACUGACCCAAACAAGGGAGCCAGAACUUGGACUGCAGUCCUUGCCAGGGAUCAGCAAGAGGCCAGAGAGACCAUGCUGCUGAGUCAUCACCGCUCCAGCUGCUACAAGCCUUUUCUGGGGACGCGGCUGUUGCUAAGAUUCCUGGGAGCUGACUGAUUGCUCCUUCUAUAGUCAUGUAACACACACGUACACGUCAAAGGAACAAGGAGCAGCAGCUGGGGCGAGCUCAGAGCGAGCACACAGCCUGCUGGCCGUGCGCAGCCGGGCUGGUGCCUGUGCAGGACUUGGGCCCCGUGGGAGCUGCAUUGCUGCUCGGGGCUUCUUUUGCAGGCACAGACCUACCUUGUUCCCUGGAAGCUCCCACUCAUGGAGGCGUUUCAAAAAUCAAACAGUCCAGGCAGUGAUUCUGUACAAAAUUUUCUUUCUGUUUGUACUUGCACGCUCCACCACAUACUUCCCCCCCCCCCCCCCCCGCCCCCACAUUUAGAGGUAGGGACAUGCUUAAAAUCUAUGAAGUGCAUUCCUUGGAGGGUCACUGUUGGGUCAUUCUCUUAAUGCAAUAAAUAAAUAUAUUCAAUCAGCAGG
This is a long non-coding RNA of Taeniopygia guttata (zebra finch), 836 nucleotides long. RefSeq lists it as uncharacterized. The record is from RefSeq and is a predicted model, not a curated record. NCBI's taxonomy places the organism in Eukaryota, Metazoa, Chordata, Aves, Passeriformes, Estrildidae.